Molecule: ribosomal RNA, 477 nt
Filed under: uncultured bacterium
Lineage: Bacteria
Description: bacterial SSU rRNA
Rfam family: Bacterial small subunit ribosomal RNA
Source: RNAcentral
GACGAACGCUGGCGGCGUGCUUAACACAUGCAAGUCGAACGAUGAAGCCUUCGGGUGGAUUAGUGGCGAACGGGUGAGUAACACGUGGGUGAUCUGCCCUGCACUUUGGGAUAAGCCUGGGAAACUGGGUCUAAUACCGGAUAGGACCACGGCCUGCAUGGGUUGUGGUGGAAAGCUUUUGCGGUGUGGGAUGGGCCCGCGGCCUAUCAGCUUGUUGGUGGGGUGAUGGCCUACCAAGGCGUCGACGGGUAGCCGGCCUGAGAGGGUGUCCGGCCACACUGGGACUGAGAUACGGCCCAGACUCCUACGGGAGGCAGCAGUGGGGAAUAUUGCACAAUGGGCGCAAGCCUGAUGCAGCGACGCCGCGUGGGGGAUGACGGCCUUCGGGUUGUAACCGUACUUUCUAGCACAGACGAAGACGUGAGUGACGGUAUGUGCAGAAGAAGACACGGCCAACUACGUGCCAGCAGCCGCGGU